UACAGAGGUCUCAAGCGUUGUUCGGAUUCAUUGGGCGUAGAGGGUGCGUAGGUGGCGCGUUAAGUCAGGUGUGAAAUUUCGGAGCUUAACUCCGAAACUGCAUUUGAUACUGGCGUGCUUGAGGACUGGAGAGGAGACUGGAAUUCAUGGUGUAGCAGUGAAAUGCGUAGAGAUCAUGAGGAAGACCAGUGGCGAAGGCGGGUCUCUGGGCCGUAACUGACGCUGAGGAGCGAAAGCGUGGGGAGCGAACAGG
This 253-nucleotide ribosomal RNA is filed under the name uncultured bacterium. Its description in RNAcentral is "partial 16S ribosomal RNA". It matches the Rfam family "Bacterial small subunit ribosomal RNA", at positions 524 to 776 of the family's 1533-position model. The record is from RNAcentral.